GACCUUUUGUAGUUCAUAAGCAUGAUGACGUGGGUUUUCACACUCACAUGUGAGAUGUGCCGCCCUCAAAUCUUCUUAUGAGGGAGGCACAUUACCCAUCUGACA
Molecule: small nucleolar RNA, 105 nt
Filed under: Callithrix jacchus (white-tufted-ear marmoset)
Lineage: Eukaryota; Metazoa; Chordata; Mammalia; Primates; Cebidae
Description: Small nucleolar RNA U13 (ENSCJAG00000070583.1)
Rfam family: Small nucleolar RNA U13
Source: Rfam by way of RNAcentral